UACGUAGGGUCCGAGCGUUGUCCGGAAUUACUGGGCGUAAAGAGCUCGUAGGUGGUUUGUCGCGUUGUUCGUGAAAACUCACAGCUCAACUGUGGGCGUGCGGGCGAUACGGGCAGACUAGAGUACUGCAGGGGAGACUGGAAUUCCUGGUGUAGCGGUGGAAUGCGCAGAUAUCAGGAGGAACACCGGUGGCGAAGGCGGGUCCCUGGACAACUUCUGACGCUGAGGCACGAAAGCUAGGGGAGCAAACAGG
RNAcentral lists this ribosomal RNA (253 nucleotides) under uncultured bacterium. Its description in RNAcentral is "partial 16S ribosomal RNA". It matches the Rfam family "Bacterial small subunit ribosomal RNA", at positions 524 to 776 of the family's 1533-position model. The record is from RNAcentral.